UACGUAGGGGGCCAGCGUUGCUCGGAAUUACUGGGCGUAACGGGCGCGUAGGCUGUGCUGUAAGUCAGGCGUGAAAGGCCCGGGCUCAACCUGGGAACUGCGCAUGAUACUGCGGCGCUUGAAGACGGGAGAGGAUGGCGGAAUUCCCAGUGUAGAGGUGAAAGGCGUAGAUAUGGGGAAGAACACCGGUGGCGAAGGCGGCCAUCUGGCCCGUGAUUGACGCUGAGGCGCGAAAGCGUGGGGAGCAAACAGG
RNAcentral lists this ribosomal RNA (253 nucleotides) under uncultured bacterium. Its description in RNAcentral is "partial 16S ribosomal RNA". It matches the Rfam family "Bacterial small subunit ribosomal RNA", at positions 524 to 776 of the family's 1533-position model. The record is from RNAcentral.